This 29-nucleotide non-coding RNA is filed under the name Rattus norvegicus (Norway rat). Lineage: Eukaryota; Metazoa; Chordata; Mammalia; Rodentia; Muridae. The record is from RNAcentral.
UAGGCCUACUGGGUGCUAGAAACUGUCAC